CCCUGGCAAUAGCUACAAGUGUGGUUUGCCCAAUAGUGAUAGCUCGAAGGAUAUAAUUUUCAGAGUAUUCGUCCUGUUUCUCCAUUAGCCUGCAAAGACCCACAAAUUUCUAGCUCCUGCACAGCAGCAUGGUUUUUCACAUGCUUUGCCCAUAGGGCCUCAAUCUCCUCUUUUAAAAAGCAACAUUAUGACUACAAAUGAGCUUUGACCUGAGACCAUCAGUCUGGGAAUAUCUCUAGAACUCACCUGGACAGAGCUUUCUGCUUCCAGGGAGAAAAACAAAAACAAACCCAAAAAACAGUGAAUAAGGAAAUACACAAGAAACAGAAAACUGGGGUUCUAUGCUGACUCUGCAAUUAUAUUCCUAUGUGACCUUGGGCAAUCACUUUAUUUCUCAGUUCCUUUAUUAAAUGAGGGGUUGGGACAGACAAAAUCUAAAAUUCUUUCCAGCUCUAAUGGUUUGUGAGUCCAAAAAUAAGCUGACAAGAGGGUAUGGGAAAAUUUUUGUUUGAUUUAAAAAUAAAAGUGAGAAAUAAAGAGAUUGUCCUUUGGGACUUUUCAUGCUUCUAAUCUGUUUUGUGUAUGUAAAUGUCAUGUCAGUCCCUUACUCAAAAAUUUUAAAUGAAAAAAAAAUUUUUUUUAA
Molecule: long non-coding RNA, 643 nt
Organism: Orcinus orca (killer whale)
Lineage: Eukaryota; Metazoa; Chordata; Mammalia; Artiodactyla; Delphinidae
Exons: 4
Source: RefSeq, a predicted model, not a curated record